Molecule: ribosomal RNA, 388 nt
Filed under: uncultured Synurales
Lineage: Eukaryota; Synurophyceae; Synurales
Description: partial small subunit ribosomal RNA
Rfam family: Eukaryotic small subunit ribosomal RNA
Source: RNAcentral
GCUUGUCUCAAAGAUUAAGCCAUGCAUGUCUUAGUGUAAAUAACUCUUAUGAAACUGCGAAUGGCUCAUUAAAUCAGUUAUCGUUUAUUUGAUGGUCCCUUACUACAUGGAUAACCGUAGUAAUUCUAGAGCUAAUACAUGCACAAAGGCCCGACUCACGAAGGGCUGUAUUUAUUAGAUGGAAACCAAUUCGGGGUAACCCGGUUUAUGGUGAUUCAUAAUAACUUUCGGAUCGACGCAAGUCGAUGCAUCAUUCAAGUUUCUGCCCUAUCAGUUGUGGAUGGUAGGGUAUUGGCCUACCAUGACUUUAACGGGUAACGGAGAAUUAGGGUUCGAUUCCGGAGAGGGAGCCUGAGAAAUGGCUACCACAUCCAAGGAAGGCAGCAGG